GCUGAGGUGACGGAGUGGUAACGUGGCGGAUUGCAGAUCCGCUUCCCGGGGGUUCAAUUCCCUCCCUCAGCU
RNAcentral lists this transfer RNA (72 nucleotides) under archaeon. RNAcentral describes it as "tRNA-Cys". It matches the Rfam family "tRNA". Rfam says of the family: Transfer RNA (tRNA) molecules are approximately 80 nucleotides in length. The record is from RNAcentral. RNAcentral also lists the same sequence under 3 other names.